ACACAUCACAACAUGUCUUAUAAUUGAAGUCAAACUCUACGUAGUUUUCUCUCUGCAAUGUUCCAUCUGUCAAACAGCUAAGAGCCCGUUGGUUCACAUACAUGACACGAGUAACACGGACUAGAAGCUUCCUGUCAAAGGGAAAACAAAACAGUGGCUUCAGUCGCACAAAGGAUCCGUCCUUCAUCUCAACCGCUCAGGAAUGUCUUCACAGCCUCCUGCUCAGCCGGCCGCACCGCGGCACACGGAGCCCCGAAGGCCGGCGAGGCCACACGCUGCAAACGGUUACGUGUCACAAAACAGACACUGACCCGCUGAAGUCAAUCAACUUCACAGGGGAACCGAAUGGAGGAGACUGUAAUCUUUGAGAUAAGAAAAUGAGUCACAUAUUUGACUUUUACAGCAUCUUUUAUCCGGACAGUUUCCACUCACACAAACACACACGUUGUGUGUCUGUCAGGGCUGCAAAUCCUGCGUACACAACCCCUGCUGUUUGUUUAUCUCCACUGAGGCUCACCAGAUGUGUGGAGAUGCAGCGGAUAACUCGGGUCAUGUAGUCACGAGUUACCGUUUACUUUGCAACAACAUCGAAACCACAAAUUCCUCCUCUGGAUUUUGCUGCUCUGGACUUCUCUCCUUCUCUUCCCACAACUCAUGAAAACCUUGUUCCUGUGAUGCUACGUUGGUCAAAAUAUCCAACACAUGAGGAGGAAGGAGCUCCUCCACCCCCUCGUGAGUCACGGAGGGCCUUCAAACCCUCCGCCUGCACGCACCUCGCGUCCGCCCGUCGGCCCCC
This is a long non-coding RNA of Gasterosteus aculeatus aculeatus (three-spined stickleback), 796 nucleotides long. Lineage: Eukaryota; Metazoa; Chordata; Actinopteri; Perciformes; Gasterosteidae. The record is from Ensembl.